GACGAACGCUGGCGGCGUGCCUAAUACAUGCAAGUCGAGCGCGGGAAGCGAGCUGAAGCCCUUCGGGGCGGACGCUCGUGGAACGAGCGGCGGACGGGUGAGUAACACGUGGGCAACCUGCCUGUAAGAUCGGAAUAACUCCGGGAAACCGGAGCUAAUGCCGGGUAACACCUUCUUUCGCAUGAAGGAAGGUUAAAAGAUGGCUUCUUGCUAUCACUUACAGAUGGGCCCGGGGCGCAUUAGCUAGUUGGUGAGGUAACGGCUCACCAAGGCGACGAUGCGUAGCCGACCUGAGAGGGUGAUCGGCCACACUGGGACUGAGACACGGCCCAGACUCCUACGGGAGGCAGCAGUAGGGAAUCUUCCGCAAUGGACGAAAGUCUGACGGAGCAACGCCGCGUGAACGAUGAAGGCUUUCGGGUCGUAAAGUUCUGUUGUCAGGGAAGAACAAGUACCGUGCGAAUAGAGCGGUACCUUGACGGUACCUGACGAGGAAGCCCCGGCUAACUACGUGCCAGCCGCCGCAGUAAAAC
Molecule: ribosomal RNA, 533 nt
Filed under: uncultured bacterium
Lineage: Bacteria
Description: bacterial SSU rRNA
Rfam family: Bacterial small subunit ribosomal RNA
Source: RNAcentral